Molecule: non-coding RNA, 366 nt
Organism: Heterocephalus glaber (naked mole-rat)
Lineage: Eukaryota; Metazoa; Chordata; Mammalia; Rodentia; Bathyergidae
Source: RefSeq, a predicted model, not a curated record
UGACACCCCACCCUAGCAUAUCAUGACCCCUUUCUCCCUCCUCAUAGACUUUCAAGGGUUCCCAGAGCUACUCUGAAAGGCCUCUUCUACCUCAGAUCCUGCAGUUCACUGAUGACUUCCUGCACUGCCACUUUUUGGCAUCCCUUCUUGGUGCUGAGGACAGAAGCCACAGCCUGGAGCAGCAGCCUGGGAGCUCCCCACUAUGGCCGGGGCAACUUCUACAAUUCAACUUCUACAAUUUAAAAUGGAGGUUGGUCAAGUUCAGGCAUCAGUAGACACCAGUAAUUGGAACCUAAAAAUAAAACAAGCCGAGAAAGCCUCAAAGACUUCCUGGAAGGUAGAAGGGACAAGAGGUUGCAGAAGGCU